Molecule: ribosomal RNA, 169 nt
Filed under: uncultured marine bacterium
Lineage: Bacteria
Description: partial 16S ribosomal RNA
Rfam family: Bacterial small subunit ribosomal RNA
Source: RNAcentral
CCUACGGGAGGCAGCAGUGGGGAAUCUUAGACAAUGGGCGAAAGCCUGAUCUAGCCAUGCCGCGUGAGUGAUGAAGGCCCUAGGGACGUAAAGCUCUUUCAACUGUGAAGAUAAUGACGGUAGCAGUAGAAGAAACCCCGGCUAACUCCGUGCCAGCAGCCGCGGUAAU